RNAcentral lists this long non-coding RNA (1981 nucleotides) under Gossypium barbadense (sea-island cotton). RNAcentral's name for it is "long non-coding RNA (GBAR_LNC015741)". Lineage: Eukaryota; Viridiplantae; Streptophyta; Magnoliopsida; Malvales; Malvaceae. The record is from RNAcentral.
AACAGUGAAAUGUGAAAUUAAAUUUAUUUAUUUAUUCAUCGUUCAAAUAUAAAGAAAACAAUUACAUAUUUACUACAAUAUGUGCACAUUUCUCAACAUGAUCACCAUGAAUAGGAGAGCCAACAGUUCCUAUUUCCCCAACCAAAGAUGACAGAUGGGGCUCUUGUGGAGGGAACUUGGGUGGAGGACUCCCAAAAUGCCUUUGCCUCGAUCUUGAGAUGUACCAGCAGCCAUAAGGUUCAAUGUCAAGUGGCCUAAAUACUACUCAAAGAUACUUUGCAGUUCAAAUUUAAUUUCUCUACGCACAUCCUCACGUAACUCCUUCAUGCAUCCUUCCCAUUUGGUAUCCAAUAGAGACAUAACCGCAUGCAACUAAGCCAUCUCUUGUUGGAGUUGGCUAACAUCCUUUUAAAGCCUGGUAGUAAUCCCAUCAUCGACCAUGAGAAUCGACUGAAGCUCUGAUACCUUUGUUUUGGAACAAACUAGAAAAGCAGAAACUAACAAAGAAGAAAGGUAAAAAAGAGAGAAAUCCGAUAGAAAAAGAAGGAAAAAGAAAAAGAAGAAGGGAAAUGAAAAGAAAACAAAGAAGCAAAGAAAAUAGAAUAGCAAAAAGAGAAUUGAUAAGAAGACAAGCUGAUUAACCAAAUAUUCAAUGAAUAUGUCAUGCAUACACUGCCUUCCUUAUGUAGCUGGAAAGAAAACUAACAGCUAAUUAGUUACUACAGCUGUAAGUAUAGGUUGUCAAAACUCAUCAAUUUAGACUUGGUGCAAAAUGCACCGUAUAACUAAUCUAAGUGCACUGUUCACCUUGCUCCUAUCCCAUUUCGUUGCUAACCACCUUUAUUAGUAAACAAUUUCUCUCGUAACAAGGAAGUAAAGCAUGCGCUCAUUAGUAUGACCCAUUCGCACUGUGCUCAUGAUAAUCAACUUGUGGUUCCUAAUGCAGAAAGUUUAGAGCGGUGGUUGAUGCAGCUUUGGAAGCCCAUUCGCACUGUCCGCAACUAUAUCUUUAUUGCACAGUUGAUAAGGUCGUUCCCUAUAAGUCAAUUGAGUGUUGUAUCGAGGAGAUGAGCAAGAAAGGGAUAAAGGUAUCGUCCUUCAACUUUGGCACAUCUCCUCAUGUCGACCACUACCGGAAUUCCCUAACUUGUGCUCAUCAGAGCUUCAUACUUUCUUGAAAGAAUGUUUCCCUCUUUCUAAACAAAAAUGAACCCUCCAAUUCCUUCAAUCACUUUGUUGUUGUUGUAUGCGGAUAUUCCUUUGGAAAUAAACCUUUUCCUGGGCAUGAAAUUGUACUUUUUAUCAAGCUGAUGCUAAGAGAUCACUGCCGAACACUAAUAAAUUGCGCGUCUUGCAUGCUAAAGCUUCAAAAAGAUCUCUUAUUUUGAAUGUAUUUGGUUCUUUGAACUUCAUUGCUGUUUUAGACCUCUACUCGAUCUAUUGAAUAUAAAGAAAUAGAAACGAUUUUGAGAAUGGGUUAGGGAAAAGCAUUGAUAACUCAAAUUUUAAUUUAAUCUCAGAGUCCAGUUUCUUUGUGAUAUUUUUUCCUCAUUUUCUCAAUAAUACCAAUGUGAAGAAAAAAAUGUAAAAUUAAUACAUCAAGCCUUCAACAAGUUACCUUUAUAUGCUUGGUAUAGAGAGUUUGGGGCAUCUGAUUGAUCAUGUGGUUAUGUCUGGCCAGUGGGAUAGUGGUUUCAAGGUGGAAUAAAACAAUGCAUUGUUGAUGGAGACGUUACAGAAGGGGAAUGGUGAUUCCAAUGUCUUAGCUGAGAUCCAUCAGCUUCGAAACCUCUGCAGUAGGAAAUGAAAGUUAACUUCGCGCCAUGUGAAACGUGAGGUGAACAGAUGUGCUGACAGUAUUGCAAGGAUAGGGAGAAAUCUUGAUGCAAGUAUGGUGAUUUUUAGCCAACCGCCUCUGGGUGGUUCAAUGUCUGAUACAGGAUAAUAUAGGGAGUCAAGAACAGAUGGUGAUAGUCUGUUU